UGCCUUACACAUGCAAGUCGAGCGGCAGCGCGGGGGCAACCCUGGCGGCGAGCGGCGCACGGGUGAGUAAUGCAUCGGAACGUGUCCUCUUGUGGGGGAUAACCAGUCGAAAGACUGGCUAAUACCGCAUGAGAUCGAGAGAUGAAAGCAGGGGACCCGCAAGGGCCUUGCGCGAGAGGAGCGGCCGAUGCCCGAUUAGCUAGUUGGCGGGGUAAAAGCCCACCAAGGCGACGAUCGGUAGCUGGUCUGAGAGGACGACCAGCCACACUGGGACUGAGACACGGCCCAGACUCCUACGGGAGGCAGCAGUGGGGAAUAUUGGACAAUGGGGGCAACCCUGAUCCAGCGAUGCCGCGUGAGUGAAGAAGGCCCUCGGGUCGUAAAGCUC
This 388-nucleotide ribosomal RNA is filed under the name uncultured organism. RNAcentral's name for it is "bacterial SSU rRNA". It matches the Rfam family "Bacterial small subunit ribosomal RNA", at positions 45 to 433 of the family's 1533-position model. The record is from RNAcentral.